RNAcentral lists this ribosomal RNA (253 nucleotides) under uncultured bacterium. RNAcentral's name for it is "partial 16S ribosomal RNA". It matches the Rfam family "Bacterial small subunit ribosomal RNA", at positions 524 to 776 of the family's 1533-position model. The record is from RNAcentral.
GACGCAGGGGGCCAGCGUUGUUCGGAAUUACUGGGUGUAAAGGGUUCGUAGGCGGUGUGGCAAGUCGGGAGUGAAAUCUAUGGGCUUAACUCAUAUGCUGCUUCCGAAACUGCUGUGCUUGAGUGUGGGAGAGGCGCGUGGAAUUGCAGGUGUAGCGGUGAAAUGCGUAGAUACCUGCAGGAACACCCGUGGCGAAAGCGGCGCGCUGGACCACAACUGACGCUGAGGAACGAAAGCUAGGGGAGCAAACAGG